CCCUUAGAUGUUCUGGGCCGCACGCGCGCUACACUGAUGCAUUCAACGAGUCUAAAACCUGGUCUGAUAGGGCUGGGUAAUCUUUUGAAUGUGCAUCGUGAUUGGGAUAGAUGAUUGCAAUUCUUCAUCUUCAACGAUGAAUGCCUAGUAAACGCAAGUCAUCAGCUUGCAUUGAUUACGUCCCUGCCCUUUGUACACACCGCCCGUCGCUCCUACCGAUUGAAUGUUCCGAUGAAUACCAUGGACUGAGAGUAUGAAUGGGUUCGCCUAUUUCUGCUUCUCGGGAAGUGGAGUAAAUCUUAACAUUUAGAGGAAGGAGAAGUCGUAACA
Molecule: ribosomal RNA, 330 nt
Filed under: uncultured eukaryote
Lineage: Eukaryota
Description: partial 18S ribosomal RNA
Rfam family: Eukaryotic small subunit ribosomal RNA
Source: RNAcentral